GAUCGGCCCGCGUCUGAUUAGCUUGUUGGUGGGGUACCCGCCUACCAAGGCGACGAUCAGUAGCUGGUCUGAGAGGAUGAUCAGCCACACUGGGACUGAGACACGGCCCAGACUCCUACGGGAGGCAGCAGUGGGGAAUAUUGGACAAUGGGCGCAAGCCUGAUCCAGCCAUGCCGCGUGAGUGAUGAAGGCCUUAGGGUUGUAAAGCUCUUUUGUCCGGGACGAUAAUGACGGUACCGGAAGAAUAAGCCCCGGCUAACUUCGUGCCAGCAGCCGCGGUAAUACGAAGGGGGCUAGCGUUGCUCGGAAUCACUGGGCGUAAAGGGCGCGUAGGCGGCCGAUUAAGUCGGGGGUGAAAGCCUGUGGCUCAACCACAGAAUUGCCUUCGAUACUGGUUGGCUUGAGACCGGAAGAGGACAGCGGAACUGCGAGUGUAGAGGUGAAAUUCGUAGAUAUUCGCAAGAACACCAGUGGCGAAGGCGGCUGUCUGGUCCGGUUCUGACGCUGAGGCGCGAAAGCGUGGGGAGCGAACAGGAUUAGAUACCCUGGUAGUCCACGCC
Molecule: ribosomal RNA, 560 nt
Filed under: uncultured bacterium
Lineage: Bacteria
Description: bacterial SSU rRNA
Rfam family: Bacterial small subunit ribosomal RNA
Source: RNAcentral